UCGAGCUGAAAGCUGACCUGGAAACAUGUCUGCUGAUGAGGAACUUCAAAGAUGAAAUCUUCAGUUUGGUGAAAGGAGCUCUAUGCCCUAGGUUUGUGAAGGAAUUACUCAUUCUCCAUCUCUGAAGCAGGGAAGCUGAACAGCAGGAACCUCUGCAGAGAUUCUUC
Long non-coding RNA from Passer montanus (Eurasian tree sparrow), 167 nucleotides. RefSeq lists it as uncharacterized. The record is from RefSeq and is a predicted model, not a curated record. The transcript is spliced from 3 exons. NCBI's taxonomy places the organism in Eukaryota, Metazoa, Chordata, Aves, Passeriformes, Passeridae.